This 19-nucleotide non-coding RNA is filed under the name Rattus norvegicus (Norway rat). Lineage: Eukaryota; Metazoa; Chordata; Mammalia; Rodentia; Muridae. The record is from RNAcentral.
GUUUGUUGGGUAAAGGAGU